ACGAGGACGACGCUGGCGGCGUGCCUAACACAUGCAAGUCGAACGGAACUAAUUUGACUGAUUCCUUCGGGAUGAAGAAUUUUAGUUAGUGGCGGACGGGUGAGUAACGCGUGAGUAACCUGCCUCUGAGAGGGGAAUAACGUUCUGAAAAGAACGCUAAUACCGCAUAACACAUAUUUGCCGCAUGACAGAUAUGUCAAAGAUUUUAUCGCUCGGAGAUGGACUCGCGUCCGAUUAGUUAGUUGGUGAGGUAACGGCUCACCAAGACCGCGAUCGGUAGCCGGACUGAGAGGUUGAACGGCCACAUUGGGACUGAGACACGGCCCAGACUCCUACGGGAGGCAGCAGUGGGGGAUAUUGCGCAAUGGGGGCAACCCUGACGCAGCAACGCCGCGUGAAGGAUGAAGGUUUUCGGAUUGUAAACUUCUUUUAUCAGGGACGAAUUUUGACGGUACCUGAUGAAUAAGCUCCGGCUAACUACGUGCCAGCAGCGGC
This 495-nucleotide ribosomal RNA is filed under the name uncultured bacterium. RNAcentral describes it as "bacterial SSU rRNA". It matches the Rfam family "Bacterial small subunit ribosomal RNA", at positions 32 to 518 of the family's 1533-position model. The record is from RNAcentral.